Molecule: long non-coding RNA, 872 nt
Organism: Centrocercus urophasianus (Greater sage-grouse)
Lineage: Eukaryota; Metazoa; Chordata; Aves; Galliformes; Phasianidae
Exons: 5
Source: RefSeq, a predicted model, not a curated record
GCUGACAGUAUUUUUAAAGUCUAUUCAGGGUGAAAUGAGUAUUGCUCAUAAAUUCAAGAGUUCAGUACAAUGAGAUGCUUUUUAAAGAUUGGUGUUUUCAGAAAUAGGGUCUGCAAUUGCUUUGUCUGCAAGCUAGAGAAACAAUCUUGUGCCUUCAGUGGGAACUUCUCUUGCAUGAAUAUUCUCUAGGGUAUAGAGCAAAGGUAGUUGGGAUUGUUGAGUUGGGGGCUGGGAGAGAAGUAAGAAAUUUCCCUGCUGUCUGCAACUUUUAAUUACCUUGAUCAAUGUCCAGGAGACUCAGACUGCCCGAACAAUGUGGACUCAAAAAAACAGUUCCAUGGAAAUUGCUGAUGGAUUAAUUGCUGGGUGUCUUUUUCCACCUUGUAUCUGAUGAUCGCUGCUGAAGGAACCUCAAAACAUACUGGACUGAACACUGUAAAACCACAUGACAGUCAGUGUUGGGACAGUAAAUAACAAGCUGUAAAUGAGGAUAUCUUGAAAAUCAGAUCUUACGAAGAGAAUGGACUGUGAGACCAGAUGCUCCAUCCUGUUGAAGAUAGGAUGAAAAGAAAGUACCUUCUGUCUUUCCUUCUCGGGAUUCUUACCUAAAGGGGCCUUCGUCUGAUCAAAACUUCAUCAUGUGAGCCAUGUACUUCUGGUACUGUAGCUGAAAUGCUGCACUUGUCCUCAGAAUGGAUUAACAAGUGAACAAGAACAGCUGUGAGCUGUCACCUGGAGAAGGCUUGGAAUCAUUUCCACUGACUUUGGCGACUGGUGAUGAGAUGAAGCGUGCUCUUUGUUCAAAAACCUGGACGAGAAUGGAGAUGUUGCUAUAUAAAGACCAUGAACAAAAGCCAUUACUCUCACUGGCA